UGGUGACUAUAGCUAGGAGGAAACACCUCUUCCCAUUCCGAACAGAGAAGUUAAGCUCCUAUGCGCCGAUGGUACUGCAUUUUUAAGUGUGGGAGAGUAGGUCGUUGCCA
RNAcentral lists this ribosomal RNA (110 nucleotides) under bacterium BMS3Abin04. RNAcentral also lists the same sequence under 1 other name. The record is from RNAcentral.